GCCGCAGUAUUUUGACUGUGCAAAGGUAGCAUAAUCAUUAGUUUUUUAAUUGAAAGCUGGAAUGAAGGGUCGGAUGAGAAAGUUUCUGUCUCACUAUUAUUUUAUUUUGAAUUUUAUAUUUAAGUUAAAAAGCUUAAAUAUUAUAGAAAGACGAGAAGACCCUAUAGAGUUUAAUAGGUUUAUUUUAUAUUUAUUUGUAGGUUUAAUUUUAAUUAUAGGAUUAUCUAUUUGGUUGGGGUGACAUAAGAAUUUGAUAAACUUCUUAUAAUAUUUACAUUGAUUAAUGAAUAUUUGAUCCUAUUAUUUAGAUUAUAAGAAUAAAUUACCUUAGGGAUAACAGCGUAAUUUUUUUAGAGAGUUCUUAUCGAUAAAAGGGAUUGCGACCUCGAUGUUGGAUUAAAGUUAAUUCUUGGUGCAGAAGCUAGGAUUUUA
Molecule: ribosomal RNA, 432 nt
Filed under: Lytta freudei
Lineage: Eukaryota; Metazoa; Arthropoda; Insecta; Coleoptera; Meloidae
Description: partial large subunit ribosomal RNA
Rfam family: Archaeal large subunit ribosomal RNA
Source: RNAcentral